Molecule: ribosomal RNA, 205 nt
Filed under: uncultured bacterium
Lineage: Bacteria
Description: partial 16S ribosomal RNA
Rfam family: Bacterial small subunit ribosomal RNA
Source: RNAcentral
GAGUUUGUAUCCUGGCUCAGAUUGAACGCUGGCGGCAGGCCUAACACAUGCAAGUCGAGCGGUAGAGAGAAGCUUGCUUCUCUUGAGAGCGGCGGACGGGUGAGUAAUGCCUAGGAAUCUGCCUGGUAGUGGGGGAUAACGCUCGGAAACGGACGACUAAUACCGCAUACGUCCUACGGGAGAAAGCAGGGGACCUUCGGGCCUU